GCUGUUCAUCUCGAUGUAUCCCCCAGAUCCGGUGAGUCCUCGCCCAUUUAGGUGGUUGGGCUCCUGGUGGGGAUGGGCCAGAUCGAGCACGGCCAUCAAUGGCGACCCCUUCCGGCCUGGAUACAUGGCUAGCGGCAGUGGCUGGGCGAGCUUCUCCUCCUUCCUCUACUGGUCAAGAUCCAUGGUUCAUCCAUGGGGUUGUUCUGGCGUCGGCCAGGACACCAAGUUGUAGUGCGGCGCCGCUGCCAUGUUAUUCGGGGCAAUACAUGGUGUGGUUCAUGUCGUGCAUGCAGUUUGGAGCACAGGAACAUGCAGUGCAAAAAUGUUGCGUUUGUGUGUAAAAAUACGGACUCAUUUGAAUGCAGUUCACGCCUAGACAUGUGUUUAGCAAAUACAGUUUGGAGUAUCUGCACAUGCAGUGCAUACCGUGAUUUUUGUGUUUGAGGAUUUUAUGUAUAAAAAUUACAGGAACUCGUUUGAUUGAAGUACGCGGUGAAGCAUGG
This 503-nucleotide ribosomal RNA is filed under the name Triticum aestivum (bread wheat). RNAcentral describes it as "partial small subunit ribosomal RNA". Lineage: Eukaryota; Viridiplantae; Streptophyta; Magnoliopsida; Poales; Poaceae. The record is from RNAcentral.